Molecule: RNA transcript, 2412 nt
Organism: Helicoverpa zea (corn earworm)
Lineage: Eukaryota; Metazoa; Arthropoda; Insecta; Lepidoptera; Noctuidae
Gene: AnxB10
Gene name: annexin B10
Exons: 10
Source: RefSeq, a predicted model, not a curated record
GCGUCAAAUCAGUUUUCCAAAAAUCGCCGCGCGGAUAACUUGUGAAUUGCAACUGUGAAAGAUCUGAUAAGAGACUUAUUAGCAUCUUAUUCGGGUCGUUACAUAGUUUUUUUGUGAUCAAGAAACGCUACGUCAACUCGCUAAGAUGGUGUUCCAACGUGAUCCAACCGUAGUGGGAGUACCGAACUUCAACGCGACGGAAGAUGCGGCGGCGCUCCGGGCUGCCAUGAAGGGCUUCGGUACUGAUGAGCAGGCCAUCAUCGAUAUUCUGACCACGCGCUCCAACGCUCAGCGCCAGGCCAUCUCUAAGGCUUUUACUCAUGAGUAUGGGAGGGACAUAAUCGAGGACCUAAAAUCCGAGCUGGGCGGUCACUUCGAGGACGUCAUAGUGGCACUCAUGCUGCCCCCCGAGGAGUACCUGUGCAAGGAGCUGCACAAGUGCAUGGACGGUCUGGGCACGGACGAGCACACGCUGGUGGAGAUCCUGUGCACCAGGACCAAGCAGGAGAUCGCUGCUAUCGUGGAAGCCUAUGAGAGGAUGUAUGACCGUCCCCUGGCUGAGCACAUGUGCUCGGAAACGUCAGGCGACUUCCGAAGACUGCUUACCCUCAUCGUGACUUCUGCCGUCCGCCAGGGGGCGCGGGACGACGAGGUCGGCGUCGACGCGGAGAAGGCACGAGAGGAUGCACAGGCGCUGUACGACGCGGGGGAAGCCAAGUGGGGGACUGAUGAGGAGGUGUUUAACCGGAUCCUGGCCCACGAGAGCUUCGCGCAGCUGCGGCAGAUAUUCGAGGAGUACAAGAACAUCUCGGGCCGCACCAUCGAGCAGGCCAUCAAGGCGGAGAUAGGAGGAGAGCUGAAGGAGGCGCUGUCGGCUAUCGUGGAAUGCGUGGAGAACGCAUCAGCAUGGUUCGCCACCCGACUGCGGAAAGCGAUGCAGGGCCUCGGCACGGACGACAGAACACUCAUCAGGAUCCUAGUCAGCCGCUCCGAGAUCGACCUUGGAGCCAUCAAGGCCGAAUACGAACGAUUAUACGAUAAAACCUUGGAAAGCGAGAUUAAGGGCGAGACCUCCGGAGACUACAAGCGAGCCCUCGUCGCUCUGCUGGGACCCGUCUAAGUGGAAGAUUGAAGAUAUGAACAAAUGGAGAUCUAAAGUGCAUCAGUAUAUGGUGUUUAGUUGUAUUCUGAAGUUAUGGUAUCGCUGGCACUGGCUCUCUUGAACCUUAGUUUGACGUAUUUAUAAAAUUCAAGCAUUUAAUGAAACUAUUUGCUGAAAACAUGUACUCUUGGACCACCUAAUUAUUUGACGAAAUACACACAUCAUCUGUACUCCCAUUUAACCAUACAAAAUUCGGUUUAUUUUAUACACAAGGGAGAUAAAAUCGUCAAUAAAGAACUUUUAUAAGGACAAUAACAGAUUGUACAAUGGACAAGAAUGAGAGCCGGUCGUAUCUUGAGGGCAAGGCCCAUUAAGAAAAAAAAACAUAGAACGUCUGUGUUGCCAACACAUUAUUGCUACCAACUAUUAAUGCUCUUUAGCGCUCUAUUUGUUUAUUCAUUUUAUUAAAUAAGCUUCUGUGUGUCGUGCAGCUAGAAUAAGUUAUGUGUACUCGUUACGUCACUUGACAGCUUGCAUCGUGUCGAUAUUUUCUGCAGCUGAUUAUUUCAUUAUUAAAUUAAAUUGUUGUAUUCGGUCGACGGACCUAAAACUGUAGAGCAUAAUAUUUAAGAUUAUUUGUUGUAUUAAUUUAAGCUCAAAUAAGCAAUUCUUGCGAGUUCGCAGCUGAUUUAUUGAAUCAAACAUGAUAAUAAUUAGAAAUUUAUUCUCGAUUCCUAUGAAAAACAACGAUAUUAUUGGAAUCUCAAAAUUAAUCUCAAUACAUAAAACUGUUUUCCGAAACAGAUAUAUUUUAAAUACAAAAUAACCCCCGAAAUACGACUGAUUUUACUAAUAUAUAUGUGUGCUUAUUUUUCUGCUUAUAAAUAUAUUACUAGAAUAGUAAUGUUAGACAUAUUCCUGCCUUAGGAGUGCCUCGUGUCACGUUAUUUUAUCAAAGGAUAUGUAUUAUAUAUACAGAGCAAAUUAUUGUUAUACUAGAUUCAAAAGAAACGAUGGUUGAAAUAGCAACUAUUAUUUUUUAGUGUUAUAUGCCUAAAAGAAAGCUUUAUAGCAUUUUAUUCACAAGAUUAUUUCCUAGUGACGUGAAAAUGUGAUUUGUCAAUUAUUUAUAUUUCGCUGUUACACGUUUAUAGUAUUAAAUUGUUAAUUGGCUAAUUUAUUAUUUUAUAAAAUGUUUAUUGUCAUUGAAUUGGAUUUAAAUUGAAUAUUUGCAUUCCGUCUCGAAUCUUGUUAAAGUUAUUACAUACUUUGUAGCUUUAAUUUUAUUUACGAAUAAACUAUGAAUGUAA